AGUGAACGCUGGCGGUAGGCCUAACACAUGCAAGUCGAACGGCAGCACAUUAAGAGCUUGCUCUUACGGGUGGCGGGUGGCGGACGGGUGAGGAAUGCAUCGGAAUCUACUUUUUCGUGGGGGACAUCGUAGGGAAACUUCCGCUAAUACCGCAUAAGACCUACCACUGAAAGCAGGGGAUAUUCGGACCUUGCCCUAUUGCAUGAGCCGAUGUCGGUUUAGCUAGUUGGCGGGGUAAAGGCCCACCAAGGCAACGGUCCGUACCUAGUUUGACAGGAGGAUCAGCCACACUGGAACGGAGAAACGGUCCAGACUCCUAGGGGAGGCAGAGGAGGGGAAUAUUGGACAAUGGGCGAAAGCCGGACCCAGACAGACCGCGGGGUGGAAGAAGGUCUUCGGUUGGAAAAGUCCUUUGGUUGGGAAAGAAGAGGGGCAGGGUAAAACCCCGCUGUUGUGACGGUACCUAAAGAAAAAGCACCGGCUAACUUCGUG
Molecule: ribosomal RNA, 492 nt
Filed under: uncultured bacterium
Lineage: Bacteria
Description: partial 16S ribosomal RNA
Rfam family: Bacterial small subunit ribosomal RNA
Source: RNAcentral